ACGCUCGACACCUACGGGAAGCAGCAGUGGGGAAUAUUGCACAAUGGGGGAAACCCUGAUGCAGCGACGCCGCGUGGAGGAAGAAGGUCUUCGGAUUGUAAACUCCUGUUGUUGGGGAAAAAGAGGAUGGUACCCAACAAGGAAGUGACGGCUAACUACGUGCCAGCAGCCACGGUAAUCUGAGCGGGCUGGCAAGGC
This 198-nucleotide ribosomal RNA is filed under the name uncultured bacterium. RNAcentral describes it as "partial 16S ribosomal RNA". It matches the Rfam family "Bacterial small subunit ribosomal RNA", at positions 326 to 539 of the family's 1533-position model. The record is from RNAcentral.